UUUCUCUCUCAAAGCUUUUUGCGGUCUGGGCUUGCUGUUCUCAAUCAAAGUAUCCAGGAAGCCCUUAUCCCAAAAAGAAUUUGCGAGGGAGG
Non-coding RNA from Xenopus tropicalis (tropical clawed frog), 92 nucleotides. The record is from Rfam. Lineage: Eukaryota; Metazoa; Chordata; Amphibia; Anura; Pipidae.